RNAcentral lists this ribosomal RNA (301 nucleotides) under uncultured bacterium. Its description in RNAcentral is "partial 16S ribosomal RNA". It matches the Rfam family "Bacterial small subunit ribosomal RNA", at positions 512 to 809 of the family's 1533-position model. The record is from RNAcentral.
CAGUACGCGGGAAUACAGAGGGUGCAAGCGUUAAUCGGAAUUACUGGGCGUAAAGCGCGCGUAGGUGGUUUGUUAAGUUGGAUGUGAAAGCCCCGGGCUCAACCUGGGAACUGCAUCCAAAACUGGCAAGCUAGAGUACGGUAGAGGGUGGUGGAAUUUCCUGUGUAGCGGUGAAAUGCGUAGAUAUAGGAAGGAACACCAGUGGCGAAGGCGACCACCUGGACUGAUACUGACACUGAGGUGCGAAAGCGUGGGGAGCAAACAGGAUUAGAUACCCGCGUAGUCCCUGUCUCUUAUACAC